GAUGAAUGCUGGCGGCGUGCCUAACACAUGCAAGUCGAGCGGCAGCGCGAGUAGUUUACCACUUGGCGGCGAGCGGCGGACGGCUGAGUAACGCGUAGGAACGUGCCCCAAAGUGAGGAAUAACUGCCCGAAAGGGUGGCUAAUGCCGCAUAUGGUCUUCGGAUUAAAGUCUUCGGACGCUUUGGGAGCGGCCUGCGUUAGAUUAGGUAGUUGGUGAGGUAAUGGCUCACCAAGCCGACGAUCUAUAGCUGGUCUGAGAGGAUGAUCAGCCAGACUGGGACUGGGACACGGCCCAGACUCCUACGGGAGGCAGCAGUGAGGAAUCUUCCACAAUGGGCGAAAGCCUGAUGGAGCAACGCCGCGUGAAGGAUGAAGGCCUUAGGGUUGUAAACUUCUUUUAUAAGUGAAGAAUAUGACGGUAACUUAUGAAUAAGCACCGGCUAACUACGUGCCAGCCGCCGCGGUAA
RNAcentral lists this ribosomal RNA (467 nucleotides) under uncultured bacterium. Its description in RNAcentral is "partial 16S ribosomal RNA". It matches the Rfam family "Bacterial small subunit ribosomal RNA", at positions 28 to 523 of the family's 1533-position model. The record is from RNAcentral.